Molecule: ribosomal RNA, 476 nt
Filed under: uncultured bacterium
Lineage: Bacteria
Description: partial 16S ribosomal RNA
Rfam family: Bacterial small subunit ribosomal RNA
Source: RNAcentral
AUUGAACGCUGGCGGCAUGCCUUACACAUGCAAGUCGAACGGUAACAGGUUAAGCUGACGAGUGGCGAACGGGUGAGUAAUGUAUCGGAACGUGCCCAGUCGUGGGUGAUAACUGCUCGAAAGAGCAGCUAAUACCGCAUACGACCUGAGGGUGAAAGCGGGGGAUCGCAAGACCUCGCGCGAUUGGAGCGGCCGAUAUCAGAUUAGGUAGUUGGUGAGGUAAAGGCUCGCCACGCCGACGAUCUGUAGCUGGUCUGAGAGGACGACCAGCCACACUGCGACUGAGAAACGGCCCAGACUCCUACGGGAGGCAGCAGUGGGGAAUUUUGGACAAUGGGCGCAAGCCUGAUCCAGCCAUGCCGCGUGCGGGAAGAAGGCCUUCGGGUUGUAAACCGCUUUUGUCAGGGAAGAAAAGGUUCUGGCUAAUACCUGGGACUCAUGACUGUACCUGAAGAAUAAGCACCGGCUAACUACGU